AUUGAACGCUGGCGGAAUGCUUUACACAUGCAAGUCGAACGGCAGCACGGACUUCGGUCUGGUGGCGAGUGGCGAACGGGUGAGUAAUAUAUCGGAACGUAUCCAAUAAUGGGGGAUAACUAAUCGAAAGGUUGGCUAAUACCGCAUACGUCCUACGGGAGAAAGCUAGGGACCUUCGGGCUUGGCGUUAAUGGAGCGGCCGAUAUCGGAUUAGCUAGUUGGUGAGGUAAAGGCUCACCAAGGCGACGAGCCGUAGCUGGUCUGAGAGGACGACCAGCCACACUGGAACUGAGACACGGUCCAGACUCCUACGGGAGGCAGCAGUGGGGAAUUUUGGACAAUGGGCGAAAGCCUGAUCCAGCCAUUCCGCGUGAGUGAAGAAGGCCUUCGGGUUGUAAAGCUCUUUCGCAAGAGAAGAAAACUUACCCUCUAACAUAGGGUGAGGUUGACGGUAUCUUGAUAAGAAGCACCGGCUAACUACGUGCCAGCAGCCGCAGUAA
This 500-nucleotide ribosomal RNA is filed under the name uncultured bacterium. Its description in RNAcentral is "partial 16S ribosomal RNA". It matches the Rfam family "Bacterial small subunit ribosomal RNA", at positions 30 to 523 of the family's 1533-position model. The record is from RNAcentral.